This 352-nucleotide transfer-messenger RNA is filed under the name Melioribacteraceae. RNAcentral describes it as "Fen-1258 sp002839795 Standard tmRNA". It matches the Rfam family "transfer-messenger RNA". From Rfam's summary of the family: Bacterial tmRNA, also known as 10Sa RNA or SsrA, is named for its dual tRNA and mRNA-like properties. RNAcentral also lists the same sequence under 1 other name. The record is from RNAcentral. Lineage: Bacteria; Pseudomonadati; Ignavibacteriota; Ignavibacteria; Ignavibacteriales.
GGGGGUGAAUUUGGCUUCGACGGGAUUAGGAGUUCUUUGAAUUGCACACCGUGUUCUCCGUAGACACGUUAAACGACGGUAAAAAAGAUAAAAGGCGAAUAUAACUACGCUUUAGCUGCGUAAUUUACGCAGCCGUUCUUCGAUUCCAUUCAUGCCUGGGGUCGAAAGAACGCCGCAUGGCAUGAUAGCCGAAUCGAACUUCCGGAUAGAAGAGGCGAAUCAAACUUCGGAACAGUCCGUUUGAAAUCUGUCUGUUGAUGCUGAACGGAUUAAAUUAAAAAACAGAAUAUGUGUGUAGAAGUUCAUAGGAUUAUAAUUUCGGACGCGGGUUCGACUCCCGCCACCUCCACUC